RNAcentral lists this ribosomal RNA (429 nucleotides) under Chloroflexota bacterium. Its description in RNAcentral is "Chloroflexi bacterium partial 16S ribosomal RNA". It matches the Rfam family "Bacterial small subunit ribosomal RNA", at positions 355 to 776 of the family's 1533-position model. The record is from RNAcentral. Lineage: Bacteria; Bacillati; Chloroflexota.
UGGGGAAUAUUGCACAAUGGGCGCAAGCCUGAUGCAGCCAUGCCGCGUGUGUGAAGAAGGCCUUCGGGUUGUAAAGCACUUUCAGCGGGGAGGAAGGCGAUAAGGUUAAUAACCUUGUCGAUUGACGUUACCCGCAGAAGAAGCACCGGCUAACUCCGUGCCAGCAGCCGCGGUAAUACGGAGGGUGCAAGCGUUAAUCGGAAUUACUGGGCGUAAAGCGCACGCAGGCGGUUUGUUAAGUCAGAUGUGAAAUCCCCGGGCUCAACCUGGGAACUGCAGCUGAUACUGGCAAGCUUGAGUCUCGUAGAGGGGGGUAGAAUUCCAGGUGUAGCGGUGAAAUGCGUAGAGAUCUGGAGGAAUACCGGUGGCGAAGGAGGCCCCCUGGACGAAGACUGACGCUGAGGUGCGAAAGCGUGGGGAGCAAACAGG